Molecule: unclassified non-coding RNA, 214 nt
Filed under: Hevea brasiliensis (rubber tree)
Lineage: Eukaryota; Viridiplantae; Streptophyta; Magnoliopsida; Malpighiales; Euphorbiaceae
Source: RNAcentral
AAGUUGUUAACAUUGUAAGGCACCCAAUUAAUGACAUAAGCACUACAAGAAAUGCCCUCUGCCCAUAGAGCUUUAGGUAAAUUUUUUUACAUGCAACUAGCUUUUACAAGUCCCCACUAAAUGUCUAAUUUUCCUCUCUAUAACACCAUUUUAUUGUGGUGUAUUGGCACAUGUCAACUCCCUCCUAAUCCCAUGCUUAUUACAAAAAUCAAAA